RNAcentral lists this ribosomal RNA (631 nucleotides) under Vibrio alginolyticus. RNAcentral's name for it is "bacterial SSU rRNA". It matches the Rfam family "Bacterial small subunit ribosomal RNA", at positions 488 to 1118 of the family's 1533-position model. Lineage: Bacteria; Pseudomonadati; Pseudomonadota; Gammaproteobacteria; Vibrionales; Vibrionaceae. The record is from RNAcentral.
AAGCACCGGCUAACUCCGUGCCAGCAGCCGCGGUAAUACGGAGGGUGCGAGCGUUAAUCGGAAUUACUGGGCGUAAAGCGCAUGCAGGUGGUUUGUUAAGUCAGAUGUGAAAGCCCGGGGCUCAACCUCGGAAUAGCAUUUGAAACUGGCAGACUAGAGUACUGUAGAGGGGGGUAGAAUUUCAGGUGUAGCGGUGAAAUGCGUAGAGAUCUGAAGGAAUACCGGUGGCGAAGGCGGCCCCCUGGACAGAUACUGACACUCAGAUGCGAAAGCGUGGGGAGCAAACAGGAUUAGAUACCCUGGUAGUCCACGCCGUAAACGAUGUCUACUUGGAGGUUGUGGCCUUGAGCCGUGGCUUUCGGAGCUAACGCGUUAAGUAGACCGCCUGGGGAGUACGGUCGCAAGAUUAAAACUCAAAUGAAUUGACGGGGGCCCGCACAAGCGGUGGAGCAUGUGGUUUAAUUCGAUGCAACGCGAAGAACCUUACCUACUCUUGACAUCCAGAGAACUUUCCAGAGAUGGAUUGGUGCCUUCGGGAACUCUGAGACAGGUGCUGCAUGGCUGUCGUCAGCUCGUGUUGUGAAAUGUUGGGUUAAGUCCCGCAACGAGCGCAACCCUUAUCCUUGUUUGC